Molecule: non-coding RNA, 134 nt
Organism: Triticum urartu
Lineage: Eukaryota; Viridiplantae; Streptophyta; Magnoliopsida; Poales; Poaceae
Source: Rfam
AUUAUACUCCCUCCGUCCGAAAAUACUUGUCAUCAAAAUGGACAAAAAUGGAUGUAUCUAAAACGAAAAUACAUCUAGAUUCAUCCCUUUUAUCCAUUUUGAUGACAAGUAUUUCCAGACGGAGGGAGUAUAUA